Long non-coding RNA from Rhincodon typus (whale shark), 748 nucleotides. RefSeq lists it as uncharacterized. NCBI's taxonomy places the organism in Eukaryota, Metazoa, Chordata, Chondrichthyes, Orectolobiformes, Rhincodontidae. The record is from RefSeq and is a predicted model, not a curated record. The transcript has 2 exons.
CUGCGGAGGGCCAGCACUUGACUGGGUGAAUGGGUGGUCUUUUAAGAUGGUGUUUUUGCCAGGAAUCCUGGGAGGUCCCAGCAGUGGCCAGUACUUCCAUCUGUGAUUUUCAUGAGUUGGUCUGUUGAUGUGACUGAAUUUUAAAUGACUGAUUCAAUGGUUGCGUGCUCCAGCAAGAUACUGAAAUCAAACAAACAACUGUGGAAGCCAGAAGUAAGAAACAAAAACAGAAAUUUCCGGAGAAACUCAGCAGGUCUGGCAGCAGCCGUAGAGAGAAAGCAGAGUUAUCAUUUAAGUCCAGUGACCCUUCUUCAGAACUCAGUUCCGCUUUUGUUACAGUUCUCCCUGUAUGAGUUGGUUGGGAAAUAAUGGGCAGUUGUUUCUGAUAGUCCCUCCAUAAAUUUGUUUAAGCAGAGAACGUGAAGUUUUAGUUCCGUGAUGUCCUUUCCAUUGCUCCCUCUGACUGCCAAGAAUAAGAUCUAAAUCGUUUGGCAUCUAUUUAGUCUGUCAAAGCUGUGAUGGAAGUAACAUGAAGAAGUCUCCCUCUGUUGUCUCAGGUUAGGUAUUAAAAGUAAGGUGAUACUUAAUUUUCCACUGGGGAAGUGACUCUGACACUGCAUACUCUCCCUUUCAGAAAAUAUGUUGCAUUUGAUUAAGUGAAUGGCCUAGUUCCAUUAAUUAUUUGGAAUCUUAUUAGCUAUUUGCCAUUCUAAUAUAAUAUGUAAAUAAAAUCAAAACUAAAUUAAAA